UCUGGUAUGAAAGGUUUGACGAGAUAUUAACUGUUUCAUAAAAAUUUAUAAUAGAAUUUUAUUUUUUAGUCAAAAAGCUAAAAUAUAUUUAAAAGACGAGAAGACCCUAUAAAUCUUUAUAUUUAGGUUAUUAUAAUUUUAUAGAUUUUUUUUGUUAUAAUAAUUGAUAAUAUUUUAUUGGGGUGAUAUUAAAAUUUGAUAAACUUUUAAUUGUUUAAAUCAUUAAUUUAUGAAUAAUUGAUCCGUUAUUAGUGAUUAAAAAAAUAAGUUACCUUAGGGAUAACAGCGA
This 289-nucleotide ribosomal RNA is filed under the name Chrysomya megacephala (oriental latrine fly). RNAcentral describes it as "partial 16S ribosomal RNA". Lineage: Eukaryota; Metazoa; Arthropoda; Insecta; Diptera; Calliphoridae. The record is from RNAcentral.